CAGCACCUCAAGUGGUCAGGAUGAUUAUUGGGCCUAAAGCAUCCGUAGCCGGCGCUGUAAGUUUUCGGUUAAAUCUGUACGCUCAACGUACAGGCUGCCGGGAAUACUGCAGCGCUAGGGAGUAGGAGAGGUAGACGGUACUCGGUAGGAAGGGGUAAAAUCCUUUGAUCUAUUGAUGACCACCUGUGGCGAAGGCGGUCUACCAGAACACGUCCGACGGUGAGGGAUGAAAGCGGGGGGAGAAAACCGGAUUAGAUACCCGAGUAGUCC
This 270-nucleotide ribosomal RNA is filed under the name uncultured archaeon. RNAcentral describes it as "partial 16S ribosomal RNA". It matches the Rfam family "Archaeal small subunit ribosomal RNA", at positions 477 to 747 of the family's 1478-position model. The record is from RNAcentral.